RNAcentral lists this ribosomal RNA (253 nucleotides) under uncultured bacterium. Its description in RNAcentral is "partial 16S ribosomal RNA". It matches the Rfam family "Bacterial small subunit ribosomal RNA", at positions 524 to 776 of the family's 1533-position model. The record is from RNAcentral.
UACGGAGGGGGCUAGCGUUGUUCGGAAUUACUGGGCGUAAAGCGCACGUAGGCGGACCGGAAAGUUGGGGGUGAAAGCCCGGGGCUCAACCCCGGAACUGCCUUUGAAACUAGAUGGCUUGAAUCUUGGAGAGGCGAGUGGAAUUCCGAGUGUAGAGGUGAAAUUCGUAGAUAUUCGGAAGAACACCAGUGGCGAAGGCGACUCGCUGGACAAGUAUUGACGCUGAGGUGCGAAAGCGUGGGGAGCAAACAGG